This 236-nucleotide long non-coding RNA is filed under the name Nicotiana benthamiana. RNAcentral describes it as "long non-coding RNA (NBEN_LNC001019)". Lineage: Eukaryota; Viridiplantae; Streptophyta; Magnoliopsida; Solanales; Solanaceae. The record is from RNAcentral.
GAGCUGGCGACUUGUAGUAGCUAUUUGAAGGAGCGGGCGACUUGUAGUAUUUAGUGGGAGCUGGCGACUUAUAGUAUUUUGCUGGAGCUGGUGACUUGUAGUUUUUUACGGGAACUGGCGACUUGUAAUAUUUUACGGGAGCUGGUGACUUGUAAUAGUGCUUUGCAGGAGCAGGUGAUUUGUAAAACUUCUUAGAAAUGUAAGAAGGUGAGGGAGAAGUAUACCCAUACGAGUAA